This 393-nucleotide long non-coding RNA is filed under the name Cyanistes caeruleus (blue tit). Its description in RNAcentral is "lncRNA (ENSCCEG00000016674.1)". The record is from RNAcentral. Lineage: Eukaryota; Metazoa; Chordata; Aves; Passeriformes; Paridae.
AGCGGGCACGGCCGGCCCGGGCCCUGCGGCGCUUCCCGGCUCCCCCGCGAACGCGGCAGGCUCGGAGCGCUAUCGCGGGCGGGGGUCGGCGGUGCUCCCCGGGGGGACUCUGUGUUCUCUCCGUGCGUCAGCUGCUCUUUCCGAUUCAGUCGCUCCAGUAACACCUUUUUUCCUACUUGUAGAAGUUGCUAAGGUUUCUCUUGAUUUGAGGACACUGCUGAUGCAUCAUUAAGACUUUCUCAUCAUCUCUGCAGGCAAGAGGCUAUAGUAGGUAUGCAGACAGUGGUUAUAUUAAAAAGGAAGCAGUAUUAACACUUUCUCUGAAGUAGAAGAUGUAGUAGAAACUGAAAAGCUAUUUGUUUUCAGUAAUUGUUUGUGUGCUCGGUCAGUUGA